Molecule: ribosomal RNA, 228 nt
Filed under: uncultured bacterium
Lineage: Bacteria
Description: partial 16S ribosomal RNA
Rfam family: Bacterial small subunit ribosomal RNA
Source: RNAcentral
CGGGUGAGUAAUGUAUGGGGAUCUGCCUGAUGGCGGGGGAUAACUACUGGAAACGGUAGCUAAUACCGCAUAAUGUCUACGGACCAAAGCGGGGGACCUCCGGGCCUCUUGCCAUCGGAUGUGCCCAGAUGGGAUUAGCUAGUAGGUGGGGUAACGGCUCACCUAGGCGACGAUCCCUAGCUGGUCUGAGAGGAUGACCAGCCACACUGGAACUGAGACACAGCCCAG